Molecule: ribosomal RNA, 735 nt
Filed under: uncultured Fusobacterium sp.
Lineage: Bacteria; Fusobacteriati; Fusobacteriota; Fusobacteriia; Fusobacteriales; Fusobacteriaceae
Description: bacterial SSU rRNA
Rfam family: Bacterial small subunit ribosomal RNA
Source: RNAcentral
GAUGAACGCUGACAGAAUGCUUAACACAUGCAAGUCAACUUGAAUUUGGGUUUUUAACUUAGAUUUGGGUGGCGGACGGGUGAGUAACGCGUAAAGAACUUGCCUCACAGCUAGGGACAACAUUUAGAAAUGAAUGCUAAUACCUGAUAUUAUGAUUUUAAGGCAUCUUAGAAUUAUGAAAGCUAUAAGCACUGUGAGAGAGCUUUGCGUCCCAUUAGCUAGUUGGAGAGGUAACAGCUCACCAAGGCGAUGAUGGGUAGCCGGCCUGAGAGGGUGAACGGCCACAAGGGGACUGAGACACGGCCCUUACUCCUACGGGAGGCAGCAGUGGGGAAUAUUGGACAAUGGACCGAGAGUCUGAUCCAGCAAUUCUGUGUGCACGAUGAAGUUUUUCGGAAUGUAAAGUGCUUUCAGUUAGGAAGAAAAAAAUGACGGUACCAACAGAAGAAGUGACGGCUAAAUACGUGCCAGCAGCCGCGGUAAUACGUAUGUCACGAGCGUUAUCCGGAUUUAUUGGGCGUAAAGCGCGUCUAGGUGGUUAUGUAAGUCUGAUGUGAAAAUGCAGGGCUCAACUCUGUAUUGCGUUGGAAACUGUAUAACUAGAGUACUGGAGAGGUAAGCGGAACUACAAGUGUAGAGGUGAAAUUCGUAGAUAUUUGUAGGAAUGCCGAUGGGGAAGCCAGCUUACUGGACAGAUACUGACGCUAAAGCGCGAAAGCGUGGGUAGCAAACAGG